AUAGCGUAAGGCUCGUGUGGUUGUUUGAAGAUAUUCCAAGACGCACGCGCAAAGGUCCACCUGCUCCUUGUCGGUUAUGUGGGUGGUGCUCUUGUCCUGGAAUCUCAGCCUUAUUUCAUUGUGACGAUUAUCGAUAUGAUUGCGUGCUACGAGCUUUCGCUCGAUCCUCAACUGUGGUGAAGGAUCAUGUAAUGCCCGUCCUUCCUUGGCCAUUCUAUACAGAAAAUCCCAAAAAGUUAUCAUCCUGAAUGGCCCCUCACAGGGAAUACAUCCUAGUCAGAGUUUUUUUACAGCUAUUAUACGGACGGAAGGAUGAUCUCCUUGGAAAAUAAUUAAAUUAGACAAAAUAGUUUUAGAUUUAAGAAACUUAUCAGACUUGCAACCCAAGAAAUAAUUAAAAAUAAAAUACAUUGCUCUGGGCAUAGAACACCAUA
This is a long non-coding RNA of Drosophila sechellia, 434 nucleotides long. RefSeq lists it as uncharacterized. The transcript is spliced from 2 exons. Lineage: Eukaryota; Metazoa; Arthropoda; Insecta; Diptera; Drosophilidae. The record is from RefSeq and is a predicted model, not a curated record.